This 77-nucleotide transfer RNA is filed under the name Oceanobacillus jeddahensis. RNAcentral's name for it is "Oceanobacillus jeddahense tRNA-Asp". It matches the Rfam family "tRNA". Rfam says of the family: Transfer RNA (tRNA) molecules are approximately 80 nucleotides in length. Their secondary structure includes four short double-helical elements and three loops (D, anti-codon, and T loops). Lineage: Bacteria; Bacillati; Bacillota; Bacilli; Caryophanales; Bacillaceae. RNAcentral also lists the same sequence under 2 other names. The record is from RNAcentral.
GGUCCGGUAGUUCAGUUGGUUAGAAUGCCUGCCUGUCACGCAGGAGGUCGCGGGUUCGAGUCCCGUUCGGACCGCCA